AUGGCAAAAAACUUUACAAUAGGGAGUACAUGCAUGAGAUCACAGCGUUUUACCACACAACAUACAGAAGCAGCAGUGCUGAGCUACUUUACAUACCACAGUGGGAUAAAUGCUGCUGAACAUCAUUUAACCUGCACUCACUCCAUCUCUACCACUGCCAGCUCCUAAAUGAUGACUCCUGUGGCAGCAGAGAGUGAUGCCAUGGUGCAACUGGAGAUACACAAAGGCAACACAGCAAAACAAGGACUGCCAUUCCAUUACACCAUUUGGCCUGCAAGGCAGUGACCUCAGUUGGCCGAUACCCCAGGAGGCCAUGUCUCAUCACUGGAUCGCUGUGCUGGUAUGAAAGGUCAAAACUGUGCGCUGGCCUCCCACUGCUCCACUCUCUGAGGAAACAAAUCCAAGUGGUGCUUGGGAUGAGGGGGCCAACAGCAAAGUCCUGCCAACAGGCUGAGUGACCGUGCAAUUUGUAUUCAGUGCCUGAUAUUAAGGACAGUUUGUAGAGGUGGUGGAAACAGGCCUUGCAAAGCUUACAAAAGACUUCACCUGUUGACGCUGUGAAGGGUAAGAAGGUGAAGGAAGGCUGGCCCAAGAUAACCACUGGCUCUGCAGAGAUGCCAGGUAAAGGUGGAGGUAGGACAAUCUGCACAACUGGUGUCCCCCUUGUACACAGCUUCCCCUUGCCAAGCUGUAAAUCACCACUCAGGGGCUGGCCCAGCCCAGAGCUGGCUGUGGAAGAAAUCCCUCCUGGCAGGGAGAAAGGAGCAGCCUUCCUGGAAUGAGCGAGCAGCCAACAAACAUUGCAGCUCCAGACAAACUUCAGCCCUAGUCAAUCUGCUCGCUGCUGUCAGCCCUCCUGCCACCCCUUCCCCACUUUCUCCUGCCCUUCAGCCACCAGGAGCUGCAGCUUUUUUUUCCCCUGGAGUCUUCCCCAGCCCUGGCAGCAGCAUGCUGUCUGGCCUGGCAAGGGUGGCUUCACUGCCAGGCUUUCUACCCAGGAGGGUAACAGGCUCACUCACCAACACAGGGUUCACAAGGGGCCCCAGGCACAUCGCUUAGCCCCAUUCCCUGCCACUGCCUUCAUUAUCUUCCCCAGCCCUGCAUAGCCCUGGUGCGCAGACAACUGCCCAUUACUACUGAGCAGUUGCCUGAAUCCCACUAAAAGCUUGUCAAAGUGCCCAGAGAGCUGAAAGUGAGCUCUUUAAAUUACAUUUGUUGAAAGAUCCCUGGUGCCUGUUCCUGCUUUUCGUUUUCAACAACUCUCUGAAAUCAUAGUUUGUUUUACAGUGAUGUUUUGUUUUUCUUUUCCUGCAUCCAACCUAUAAGUCAUGGAUGAUGCAUAUUGAACACAUUAAAUGGAUUUCAGUGGGCUGCACACCAUGUGUGCACAGGGCUGAGGCCUGGGAGAACGGCAUUUUUGUGUUUGCUUUCUGUGCCAGGAAGCCAUGCAGUGUGCUGCUCCCUUAUGCAUGGCCCUGCAUUGAUUUCUGCAAAUGUGAAAACCAAGAAAGAAGCUGCAUGGAUGGAGACAGCAGAACCACUAAGGAUACUACCAAAGAGGAAGAAUCAAGAGUCUAACUGAUGGGUUAAAGCAGUGCCUGGAAAUCAGGACUGCUUGGAUCAACGCCUAACCACAGCUGACAACAGGCAAGUCUCUUCACUGCUGUGCUUCUGCCUCCCCAUCUGGAAACCGAGGAGAGUAAACAAAUUCAGUGCCCUAUCCUCAGGGAAGCAGUGGAGACCUUCAGCUACAAGCCAUCUCUCCCAGAUUACACUUCUGAAGAUGUAAAGAAGAAAACAAGGUUCAGAAGACAGCACCUCGCCAAAAUAAAGAUAUUUUAGGAAGGUAUUUCUGACUCCAUACGGAUUAUGUGUAAACUUAAGUUACUGAGACAAAAUGGGGACUGUUUGGUUAAAGCUCAAAUCCUGCCUGGCCUUUACUAGGCUAUGUUUCAAGCAUCCUGUUUUGCCUAAUCUCUACAUCUCACUCUAUCACCUUAAUCCAACUUCUCCAGGAGUACUCUCCACAGUCCUACCCAACAGCUGGACUUGGGACCAAAAACAUCAGUCCUGGAGAACUGUGCCGCAUGGUUUCAAGUAUCUGAGGCUGAGUAGGGGUCAGAAAAUUGAGUUCAAACCAAACCCUUCUCUUGAACCUUUGACUGACCUUUGAAGGAGCCCCACAGGCUGGGUUUGGGCUGUAGGUUCCAAAAAUCUUAUUCCAGAGUCUCAUCUUGUUCUUGUGACUGAAUUAUCAUGGCCCUAUGAUAGCCAAAUUGACAGCAGUUCCACGUCAACUGUGUCAACACAGAAAUCCCAAAUUCAAAAGUACAUGGGUGGGACAGGGUGGAGAAAAGUGCCGACUAUUUUUAAUCAAAAGUUUCAACAGCCUUUCCCUAGAUAUGACGAGUUUCCAGAUUUGAAGUGCUUAGAAGCAAUCCAGAAUUUAUAUGUAGGUAAUAUAAUGGCUCUGAUGAUUAGCUGUUGAUUGAGAAAACUUGAGGAUUCUAUGACAAAAACAUAAUGUAAGCAGUGUAGUUUCCUGACAUUUCCAGUGCACUAUAAUUCUUUCUGUGUAAUGUAUAAGCCCUCUAUUUAUUUUUCAGAGUUCUGAAAGCUUAAUAUUUCACUGAUAUAUUCCCUAUUAAACUCACCUCAACAGAUCUUUGGCUUUUUGAUGGGGAGCCCUAAAAGGUUGGCCCAACUAGAGGCACUGAAGCAAAGUCCGUGUUCCUAACAGUUCUUACUUUGCUUUCUGGGGAAAGCCUUUCCUGAUCUUUUACUUCUUGGCUGUCAGCCUAAAUGCUCACUCUGCCCUUUCUAUGGACCUCCUGUAGGAGCUUUGAGCAAGGAAGCGGACAUACCAACUCUCUCACCAAAUCACGGACCAAAACACAUUUCCUUUUAUUAACAGCUCUGGAAGUAACUUUGGUUAGGUAUCCACCAUGCAGCCACAUAAAGAUCAGUCAGUUAUCUUCUGGGGUCACCUUUGUCAGUCACCUACCAGUUCAGGCAAUAAAUGUACUCUUGAAUAUGUUU
Molecule: long non-coding RNA, 3039 nt
Organism: Gallus gallus (chicken)
Lineage: Eukaryota; Metazoa; Chordata; Aves; Galliformes; Phasianidae
Exons: 5
Source: RefSeq, a predicted model, not a curated record